This 377-nucleotide ribosomal RNA is filed under the name uncultured bacterium. Its description in RNAcentral is "bacterial SSU rRNA". It matches the Rfam family "Bacterial small subunit ribosomal RNA", at positions 523 to 898 of the family's 1533-position model. The record is from RNAcentral.
AUACGUAGGGGGCAAGCGUUGUCCGGAAUGAUUGGGCGUAAAGGGCGCGUAGGCGGCCUGGUAAGUCUGGAGUGAAAGUCCUGCUUUUAAGGUGGGAAUUGCUUUGGAUACUGUCGGGCUUGAGUGCAGGAGAGGUAAGUGGAAUUCCCGGUGUAGCGGUGAAAUGCGUAGAGAUCGGGAGGAACACCAGUGGCGAAGGCGACUUACUGGACUGUAACUGACGCUGAGGCGCGAAAGUGUGGGGAGCAAACAGGAUUAGAUACCCUGGUAGUCCACACUGUAAACGAUGAAUGCUAGGUGUAGGGGGUAUCGACCCCUUCUGUGCCGGAGUUAACACAAUAAGCAUUCCGCCUGGGGAGUACGGCCGCAAGGUUGAA